CGUGUAGGCGGUGGUGCAUGUCGCGUGUGAAAGCCCCCGGCUCAACCGGGGGAAGUGCGCGCGAAACUGCAUCGCUGGAGUGCCGGAGAGGGUGGCGGAAUUCCCGGUGUAGAGGUGAAAUUCGUAGAUAUCGGGAGGAACACCAGUGGCGAAGGCGGCCACCUGGACGGACACUGACGCUGAGACGCGAAAGCGUGGGUAGCAAACAGGAUUAGAUACCCUGGUAGUCCACGCCGUAAACGAUGGGAACUAGGUGUGGUGGGUGUUGACCCCCGCCGUGCCGCAGCUAACGCAUUAAGUUCCCCGCCUGGGAAGUACGGUCGCAAGACUAAAA
Molecule: ribosomal RNA, 334 nt
Filed under: uncultured bacterium
Lineage: Bacteria
Description: bacterial SSU rRNA
Rfam family: Bacterial small subunit ribosomal RNA
Source: RNAcentral